CGCCGAGCCAGCUGCUAGUGUCCUCUGCUGUUGGCAGUUGUGAGCACCUUCUUCUCCAUAUUUGUGCUUGUUCAGAAAUGUUGGCUAGAAACACCUGAACAUUCAUUUUGGAGUACUCCAAUAGCAGUAGUAAAUAUCACCAUUUCGAUUCAAAUUCAGUUGGCAAUAACUUGUUCACAUUACUGCCAAAUAUUGAUAGAGUUGUUUGCAAAUUCAGGUUGAUGAGAUGAAUGUGGGCAUCAACCGACCUCAGCAGCAGCUCCAGGAAUAGCCUUCACCUGGGUGUGCCGUGUGCAGCACCACCACCACUAGUAGCAGCAGCUCUAGGAUAAGGCCUAGAGGUGGAGUGGAGGAGUGCCGUGUGCAGCAGCAGCACCACCAGUAGUAGCAGCAGCUCGGGAGAGGAGGAUCGCCUGGGCCUAGAAGUGCAGGCGCUUGGACCUGGGUGCAGUCUUGGAGGUGGAGGCGCCAGGAUCUGGGUGGAGG
RNAcentral lists this long non-coding RNA (486 nucleotides) under Hordeum vulgare. Its description in RNAcentral is "long non-coding RNA (HVUL_LNC017901)". Lineage: Eukaryota; Viridiplantae; Streptophyta; Magnoliopsida; Poales; Poaceae. The record is from RNAcentral.